UAAUCGCGCAUCAGCCAUGGCGCGGUGAAUACGUUCCCGGGCCUUGUACACACCGCCCGUCACACCAUGAGAGUUGAGAAUACCCGAAGCCCAUGUCAAAGUGGUCGAAGGUAGGCUUGAUGAUUGGGGUGAAGUCGUAACAAGGUAAC
This 149-nucleotide ribosomal RNA is filed under the name uncultured bacterium. RNAcentral's name for it is "partial 16S ribosomal RNA". It matches the Rfam family "Bacterial small subunit ribosomal RNA", at positions 1339 to 1500 of the family's 1533-position model. The record is from RNAcentral.